Molecule: unclassified non-coding RNA, 256 nt
Filed under: uncultured fungus
Lineage: Eukaryota; Fungi
Description: partial contains 5.8S ribosomal RNA, internal transcribed spacer 2, and large subunit ribosomal RNA
Source: RNAcentral
AACGCACAUUGCGCCCGUUAGUAUUCUAGCGGGCAUGCCUGUCCGAGCGUCAUAUCAACCCUCAAGCCCUGGACGCUUGGUGUUGGGGCGCCGCGGCGCCAGCCGCAGCCCCCGAAAUACAGUGGCGGACCCUACGAGGAGCCGAGCGCAGUAGUGAUCUCUCGCUCAGGCCCUCCCCGGGGGGAUCCUGCCGUAAAACCCCAACUGUUACCACCAGGUUGACCUCGGAUCAGGUAGGAAUACCCGCUGAACUUAA